GAUGAACGCUGGCGGCGUGCCUAAUACAUGCAAGUUGAGCGCUGAAGGGUGGUAGUUGUACCUACUGGAGGAGCAGCGGACGGGUGAGUGACGCGUGGUUGAUCUGCCGUUGGGGGGGGGAGAACAUUUGGAAAGGAAUGCUAAUACCGCGUAAAAAGUUUACAUGUAAGGUUUAAUGAUGAAAGAUGCUGUUGGAUCACUCUAAGUUGUUUUCGCGUUGUGUUAGCUAGUUGGCGAGGUAAAGGCUAACCAAGGCGAUGAUACAUAGCCGACCUUAGAGGGUGGUCGGCCACAGUGGGAAGGAGACAAGGGCCAAACGCCUACGGAAGGACGCAGUAGGGAAUCUUCGGAGAUGGAAGAAAGUCUGACCGGGCAACGCCGGGUGCGUGGAGACAGCUUUUGGGUCGGAAAACUCUGUUGGUAGGGAAGAAAGAUGGUGAGCGUGGAAAGAUCAUCAAGUGACGGUAACUACACAGGAAGGGACGGCUAACUACGUG
RNAcentral lists this ribosomal RNA (497 nucleotides) under uncultured bacterium. Its description in RNAcentral is "partial 16S ribosomal RNA". It matches the Rfam family "Bacterial small subunit ribosomal RNA", at positions 28 to 507 of the family's 1533-position model. The record is from RNAcentral.